GUCUAUGAUUAUGAUAGUCUGACCUGCCCUAUGUUUAAGGUUAAUGGCCGCGGUAUUUUGACCGUGCGAAGGUAGCAUAAUAAAUAGUCUAUUAAAUGUAGUCUGGAAUGAAUGGUUUGACGGGGAGUAGCUUUUUUAAUUUUAUUUUUGAAUUUUAAUUAUUAGUGAAAAUGCUAAUAUGAUUUAGGGGGACGAGAAGACCCUAUAGAGCUUUAUAUAUACUAAAAUUGUGGUGGUAUUAGAAUUUUAAAUUAUAUUUUGUUGGGGCGACAAUAAAUUGGAAUCAUUUAUUUAUUAGGCUAUUUUAAUAGAGUGUUAGAUCCAUUAAUAGUGAUUAUUAGACUUAGUUACCUUAGGGAUAACAGCGUAAUUUUAUUUUAGAGUUCUUAUCGAUAAUAAAGUUUGCGACCUCGAUGUUGGAUUAAGAUUCUUUUAGGGUGUAGCUGUUCUAAUAAGUAGUCUGUUCGACUAUUUAAAUCUUACAUGAUCAUUUCCCAAAACCGGGGGAA
Molecule: ribosomal RNA, 509 nt
Filed under: Digitipes sp. 2 JJ-2012
Lineage: Eukaryota; Metazoa; Arthropoda; Chilopoda; Scolopendromorpha; Scolopendridae
Description: partial 16S ribosomal RNA
Rfam family: Bacterial large subunit ribosomal RNA
Source: RNAcentral